This is a non-coding RNA of Trichobilharzia regenti, 45 nucleotides long. The record is from Rfam. Lineage: Eukaryota; Metazoa; Platyhelminthes; Trematoda; Strigeidida; Schistosomatidae.
AUCCAGAUGACGAGUCCCAAACAUGACGAAACGCGCAUCCUGGAU